Molecule: ribosomal RNA, 932 nt
Filed under: Bacillus tequilensis
Lineage: Bacteria; Bacillati; Bacillota; Bacilli; Caryophanales; Bacillaceae
Description: bacterial SSU rRNA
Rfam family: Bacterial small subunit ribosomal RNA
Source: RNAcentral
AGGUGGGCUGCUAUAAUGCAGUCGAGCGGACAGAUGGGAGCUUGCUCCCUGAUGUUAGCGGCGGACGGGUGAGUAACACGUGGGUAACCUGCCUGUAAGACUGGGAUAACUCCGGGAAACCGGGGCUAAUACCGGAUGGUUGUUUGAACCGCAUGGUUCAAACAUAAAAGGUGGCUUCGGCUACCACUUACAGAUGGACCCGCGGCGCAUUAGCUAGUUGGUGAGGUAACGGCUCACCAAGGCAACGAUGCGUAGCCGACCUGAGAGGGUGAUCGGCCACACUGGGACUGAGACACGGCCCAGACUCCUACGGGAGGCAGCAGUAGGGAAUCUUCCGCAAUGGACGAAAGUCUGACGGAGCAACGCCGCGUGAGUGAUGAAGGUUUUCGGAUCGUAAAGCUCUGUUGUUAGGGAAGAACAAGUACCGUUCGAAUAGGGCGGUACCUUGACGGUACCUAACCAGAAAGCCACGGCUAACUACGUGCCAGCAGCCGCGGUAAUACGUAGGUGGCAAGCGUUGUCCGGAAUUAUUGGGCGUAAAGGGCUCGCAGGCGGUUUCUUAAGUCUGAUGUGAAAGCCCCCGGCUCAACCGGGGAGGGUCAUUGGAAACUGGGGAACUUGAGUGCAGAAGAGGAGAGUGGAAUUCCACGUGUAGCGGUGAAAUGCGUAGAGAUGUGGAGGAACACCAGUGGCGAAGGCGACUCUCUGGUCUGUAACUGACGCUGAGGAGCGAAAGCGUGGGGAGCGAACAGGAUUAGAUACCCUGGUAGUCCACGCCGUAAACGAUGAGUGCUAAGUGUUAGGGGGUUUCCGCCCCUUAGUGCUGCAGCUAACGCAUUAAGCACUCCGCCUGGGGAGUACGGUCGCAAGACUGAAACUCAAAGGAAUUGACGGGGGCCCGCACAAGCGGUGGAGCAUGUGGGUUAAUUCGA